CAAGUCGAACGCACAGCGAAAGGUGCUUGCACCUUUCAAGUGAGUGGCGAACGGGUGAGUAACACGUGGACAACCUGCCUCAAGGCUGGGGAUAACAUUUGGAAACAGAUGCUAAUACCGAAUAAAACUUAGUGUCGCAUGACACAAAGUUAAAAGGCGCUUCGGCGUCACCUAGAGAUGGAUCCGCGGUGCAUUAGUUAGUUGGUGGGGUAAAGGCCUACCAAGACAAUGAUGCAUAGCCGAGUUGAGAGACUGAUCGGCCACAUUGGGACUGAGACACGGCCCAAACUCCUACGGGAGGCUGCAGUAGGGAAUCUUCCACAAUGGGCGAAAGCCUGAUGGAGCAACGCCGCGUGUGUGAUGAAGGCUUUCGGGUCGUAAAGCACUGUUGUAUGGGAAGAACAGCUAGAAUAGGAAAUGAUUUUAGUUUGACGGUACCAUACCAGAAAGGGACGGCUAAAUACGUGCCAGCAGCCGCGGUAAUACGUAUGUCCCGAGCGUUAUCCGGAUUUAUUGGGCGUAAAGCGAGCGCAGACGGUUUAUUAAGUCUGAUGUGAAAGCCCGGAGCUCAACUCCGGAAUGGCAUUGGAAACUGGUUAACUUGAGUGCAGUAGAGGUAAGUGGAACUCCAUGUGUAGCGGUGGAAUGCGUAGAUAUAUGGAAGAACACCAGUGGCGAAGGCGGCUUACUGGACUGCAACUGACGUUGAGGCUCGAAAGUGUGGGUAGCAAACAGGAUUAGAUACCCUGGUAGUCCACACCGUAAACGAUGAACACUAGGUGUUAGGAGGUUUCCGCCUCUUAGUGCCGAAGCUAACGCAUUAAGUGUUCCGCCUGGGGAGUACGACCGCAAGGUUGAAACUCAAAGGAAUUGACGGGGACCCGCACAAGCGGUGGAGCAUGUGGUUUAAUUCGAAGCAACGCGAAGAACCUUACCAGGUCUUGACAUCCUUUGAAGCUUUUAGAGAUAGAAGUGUUCUCUUCGGAGACAAAGUGACAGGUGGUGCAUGGUCGUCGUCAGCUCGUGUCGUGAGAUGUUGGGUUAAGUCCCGCAACGAGCGCAACCCUUAUUGUUAGUUGCCAGCAUUCAGAUGGGCACUCUAGCGAGACUGCCGGUGACAAACCGGAGGAAGGCGGGGACGACGUCAGAUCAUCAUGCCCCUUAUGACCUGGGCUACACACGUGCUACAAUGGCGUAUACAACGAGUUGCCAACCCGCGAGGGUGAGCUAAUCUCUUAAAGUACGU
RNAcentral lists this ribosomal RNA (1246 nucleotides) under Leuconostoc mesenteroides. Its description in RNAcentral is "bacterial SSU rRNA". It matches the Rfam family "Bacterial small subunit ribosomal RNA", at positions 58 to 1286 of the family's 1533-position model. Lineage: Bacteria; Bacillati; Bacillota; Bacilli; Lactobacillales; Lactobacillaceae. The record is from RNAcentral.